AGUGGAUGGGGAGCAACCUAGUUGUGCGUGUGUAAAGGUAGUGCCAAGAAAAGCGAUGAUCAUGUUGAAAAUCAAUUCCCGGUACCCGAAACCGACACAGGUGGGCAAGUAGAGAAUACUAAGGGGCGCGAGGUAACUCUCUCCAAGGAACUCGGCAAAAUGACCCCGUAACUUAGGGAGAAGGGGUGCCACCGAGAGGUGGUCGCAGUGAAGAGGCCCAGGCGACUGUUUAGCAAAAACAUAGGUCUCUGCAAACUCGAAAGAGGAGGUAUAGGGGCUGACGCCUGCCCAGUGCCGGAAGGUUAAAGAAGUUGGUCAGUUUUAGGAUGAAGCUAGCGACUGAAGCCCCGGUGAACGGCGGCCGUAACUAUAACGGUCCUAAGGUAGCGAAAUUCCUUGUCGGGUAAGUUCCGACCCGCACGAAAGGCGUAACGAUCUGGGCGCUGUCUCGGAGAGAGGCUCGGCGAAAUAGGAUUGUCUGUGAAUACGGACUACCUGCAUUUGGACAGAAAGACCCUAUGAAGCUUUACUAUAGCUUGGAAUUGUGUUCGGGCUUCCUGUGCGCAGGAUAGGUGGGAGGCGUAGAAGGUAUUCUUGUGGGGAUACUGGAGCCAACGGUGAGAUACCACUCUCAGGAGGCUAGAAUUCUAACUUAAUUAAGGACAGUUUCAGGUGGGUAGUUUGACUGGGGCGGUCGCCUCCAAAAAGGUAACGGAGGCGUACAAAGGUUCCCUCAGACUGGUUGGAAAUCAGUCGAAGAGUGCAAAGGCAGAAGGGAGCUUGACUGCGAGAAGUACAGUUCGAGCAGGGUGGAAACACGGUCUUAGUGAUCCGACGGUGCUGUGUGGAAGGGCCGUCGCUCAACGGAUAAAAGUUACUCUAGGAUAACAGGCUGAUCUCCCCCAAGAGUUCACAUCGACGGGGAGGUUUGGCACCUCGAUGUCGGCUCAUCGCAACCUGGGGCGGAAGUACGUCCCAAGGGUUGGGCUGUUCGCCCAUUAAAGCGGUACGUGAGCUGGGUUCAGAACGUCGUGAGACAGUUCGGUCCAUAUCCGAUGUAGGCGUGAGAAUAUUGAGAGGAGCCUUCCUUAGUACGAGAGGACCGGGAAGGACGCACCGCUGGUGUACCUGUUAUGGUGCCAAUUGUAAACGCAGGGUAGCCAAGUGCGGAGAGGAUAACCGCUGAAAGCAUCUAAGUGGGAAGCCCACCUCAAGAUGAGUAUUCUGGUGUAAGGUCACGGGAAGACGACCCGUAAAUAGGCACGAGGUGGAAGUGCAGAGAUGUAUGAAGCCGAAGUGUACUAAUAGACCGUCGGCUUGAUC
This 1323-nucleotide ribosomal RNA is filed under the name metagenome. Its description in RNAcentral is "bacterial LSU rRNA". It matches the Rfam family "Bacterial large subunit ribosomal RNA", at positions 1561 to 2925 of the family's 2925-position model. The record is from RNAcentral.